UGAGUGGCGGACGGGUGAGUAACGCGUGGGCAACCUGGCCUGGUACAGGGGGAUAACACUUAGAAAUAGGUGCUAAUACCGCAUAACGGGGGAAGCCGCAUGGCUUUUCCCUGAAAACUCCGGUGGUACAGGAUGGGCCCGCGUCUGAUUAGCCAGUUGGCAGGGUAACGGCCUACCAAAGCGACGAUCAGUAGCCGGCCUGAGAGGGCGGACGGCCACACUGGGACUGAGACACGGCCCAGACUCCUACGGGAGGCAGCAG
RNAcentral lists this ribosomal RNA (262 nucleotides) under uncultured bacterium. RNAcentral's name for it is "partial 16S ribosomal RNA". It matches the Rfam family "Bacterial small subunit ribosomal RNA", at positions 92 to 354 of the family's 1533-position model. The record is from RNAcentral.